CCCCUGGUGGCUCAGACGGUAAAGCAUCUGCCUGCAAUGCGGGAGACCUGGGUUCAAUUCCUGGGUUGGGAA
RNAcentral lists this transfer RNA (72 nucleotides) under Ovis aries (sheep). It matches the Rfam family "tRNA". From Rfam's summary of the family: Transfer RNA (tRNA) molecules are approximately 80 nucleotides in length. Their secondary structure includes four short double-helical elements and three loops (D, anti-codon, and T loops). The record is from Rfam by way of RNAcentral. Lineage: Eukaryota; Metazoa; Chordata; Mammalia; Artiodactyla; Bovidae.